RNAcentral lists this ribosomal RNA (440 nucleotides) under uncultured bacterium. Its description in RNAcentral is "partial 16S ribosomal RNA". It matches the Rfam family "Bacterial small subunit ribosomal RNA", at positions 338 to 795 of the family's 1533-position model. The record is from RNAcentral.
CCUACGGGAGGCAGCAGUGGGGAAUAUUGCACAAUGGGGGAAACCCUGAUGCAGCGAAGCCGCGUGAGUGAGGAAGUAGUUCGGUAUGUAAAGCUCUAUCAGCAGGGAAGAAAAUGACGGUACCUGACCAAGAAGCCCCGGCUAACUACGUGCCAGCAGCCGCGGUAAUACGUAGGGGGCAAGCGUUAUCCGGAUUUACUGGGUGUAAAGGGAGCGUAGACGGUUAUGUAAGUCAGAAGUGAAAGCCCAGGGCGCAACCCCGGGACUGCUUUUGAAACUGGGUAUCUUGAGUGCAGGAGAGGCAGGCGGAAUUCCUGGUGUAGCGGUGAAAUGCGUAGAUAUUAGGAGGAACACCGGGGGCGAAGGCGGCCUGCUGGACUGAAACUGACGUUGAGGCUCGAAAGCGUGGGGAGCAAACAGGAUUAGAUACCCUGGUAGUC